Molecule: ribosomal RNA, 427 nt
Filed under: uncultured bacterium
Lineage: Bacteria
Description: partial 16S ribosomal RNA
Rfam family: Bacterial small subunit ribosomal RNA
Source: RNAcentral
UGGGGAAUAUUGGACAAUGGGCGAAAGCCUGAUCCAGCCAUGCCGCGUGUGUGAAGGAGGUCUUCGGAUUGUAAAGCACUUUAAGUUGGGAGGAAGGGCAUUAACCUAAUACGUUAGUGUUUUGACGUUACCGACAGAAUAAGCACCGGCUAACUCUGUGCCAGCAGCCGCGGUAAUACAGAGGGUGCAAGCGUUAAUCGGAAUUACUGGGCGUAAAGCGCGCGUAGGUGGUCUGUUAAGUUGGAUGUGAAAUCCCCGGGCUCAACCUGGGAACUGCAUUCAAAACUGACUGACUAGAGUAUGGUAGAGGGUGGUGGAAUUUCCUGUGUAGCGGUGAAAUGCGUAGAUAUAGGAAGGAACACCAGUGGCGAAGGCGACCACCUGGACUAAUACUGACACUGAGGUGCGAAAGCGUGGGGAGCAAACA